Molecule: unclassified non-coding RNA, 314 nt
Filed under: Zea mays
Lineage: Eukaryota; Viridiplantae; Streptophyta; Magnoliopsida; Poales; Poaceae
Description: misc RNA Zm00001eb256580
Source: RNAcentral
ACACCAUUUCUGCGUUUCCACAAUUGCCAGCAGCAGAGGAGGACAAAGGAGUUGAAUUCUGCACCCGGAAGGCGAUCAGGGCGACUGAUGUUUGGCAGGUCCUGGGUGCCCAGAUCAUCAGCGACAGAGAAUCCGAUGGAGCUCCAAAAUUGGCGUGCAAACGGGCAGUGGAAGAUGAUGUGCGAAGGAGUUUCACUGUCUUGGUUACAUAUUUCACAACAGUCAUCAUCCACAAUCCCUUUUUUCUUCAGGUUCCAUUUGCACUGAAUUUUUCCUUGCAUAAGCAGCCAACAGAAGAAUUGUGCCCGCGGGGG